Molecule: ribosomal RNA, 712 nt
Filed under: Polaromonas sp. Z115
Lineage: Bacteria; Pseudomonadati; Pseudomonadota; Betaproteobacteria; Burkholderiales; Comamonadaceae
Description: bacterial SSU rRNA
Rfam family: Bacterial small subunit ribosomal RNA
Source: RNAcentral
UCGAACGGCAGCACGGGAGCAAUCCUGGUGGCGAGUGGCGAACGGGUGAGUAAUAUAUCGGAACGUGCCCAGUCGUGGGGGAUAACGUAGAGAAAUUUACGCUAAUACCGCAUACGAUCUAAGGAUGAAAGCGGGGGACCGUAAGGCCUCGCGCGAUUGGAGCGGCUGAUAUCAGAUUAGGUUGUUGGUGAGGUAAAAGCUCACCAAGCCGACGAUCUGUAGCUGGUUUGAGAGAACGACCAGCCACACUGGGACUGAGACACGGCCCAGACUCCUACGGGAGGCAGCAGUGGGGAAUUUUGGACAAUGGGCGAAAGCCUGAUCCAGCAAUGCCGCGUGUGGGAAGAAGGCCUUCGGGUUGUAAACCACUUUUGUACGGAACGAAACGGUCUGCCCUAAUACGGCGGGCUAAUGACGGUACCGUAAGAAUAAGCACCGGCUAACUACGUGCCAGCAGCCGCGGUAAUACGUAGGGUGCGAGCGUUAAUCGGAAUUACUGGGCGUAAAGCGUGCGCAGGCGGUUAUAUAAGACAGUUGUGAAAUCCCCGGGCUCAACCUGGGAAUUGCAUCUGUGACUGUAUAGCUAGAGUACGGUAGAGGGGGAUGGAAUUCCGCGUGUAGCAGUGAAAUGCGUAGAUAUGCGGAGGAACACCGAUGGCGAAGGCAAUCCCCUGGACCUGUACUGACGCUCAUGCACGAAAGCGUGGGGAGC